GGGUGCGAUUAUACAAACACUAAUGCACCGAAUCCCAUCAAAAUUCUGCAGUUAAGCGUGCUUGGACGAUAGUAGUACUAGAAUGGGUGACCUCCUUGGAAGUCCUCGUAUUGCACCCC
This 119-nucleotide ribosomal RNA is filed under the name Beta vulgaris subsp. vulgaris (sugar beet). The record is from RNAcentral. Lineage: Eukaryota; Viridiplantae; Streptophyta; Magnoliopsida; Caryophyllales; Amaranthaceae.